CGGGUGAGUAACGCGUGGAGAACCUGCCGUAUACUGGGGGAUAACACUUAGAAAUAGGUGCUAAUACCGCAUAAGCGCACAGCUUCGCAUGAAGCAGUGUGAAAAACUCCGGUGGUAUACGAUGGAUCCGCGUCUGAUUAGCUGGUUGGCGGGGUAAAGGCCCACCAAGGCGACGAUCAGUAGCCGGCCUGAGAGGGUGAACGGCCACAUUGGGACUGAGACACGGCCCAAACUCCUACGGGAGGCAGCAG
RNAcentral lists this ribosomal RNA (251 nucleotides) under uncultured bacterium. RNAcentral describes it as "partial 16S ribosomal RNA". It matches the Rfam family "Bacterial small subunit ribosomal RNA", at positions 103 to 354 of the family's 1533-position model. The record is from RNAcentral.